This 75-nucleotide microRNA precursor is filed under the name Tupaia belangeri (northern tree shrew). RNAcentral's name for it is "miRNA (ENSTBEG00000020702.1)". The record is from RNAcentral. Lineage: Eukaryota; Metazoa; Chordata; Mammalia; Scandentia; Tupaiidae.
GGCUCUUGUCAAAAUGCAGAUUCUGACUCAGCGGGUCUAGGGUAGAGCCUCAGACCCUGCAUUUUUAACAAGUUC